AUUGAACGCUGGCGGCAGGCCUAACACAUGCAAGUCGAACGCAUUGCGGACGGGUGAGUAAGUUCUGGGAAACUGCCCGAUGGGGGGGGAUAACGUAGGGAAACUUACGCUCAUACCGCAUACUCUUUAAUGGGCCGAUGUCGGAUUAGCUAGUUGGCGGGGUAAAGGCCCACCAAGGCGACGAUCCGUAGCUGGUCUGAGAGGAUGAUCAGCCACACUGGAACUGAGACACGGUCCAGACUCCUACGGGAGGCAGCAGUGGGGAAUAUUGGACAAUGGGCGCAAGCCUGAUCCAGCCAUACCGCGUGGGUGAAGAAGGCCUUCGGGUUGUAAAGCCCUUUUGUUGGGAAAGCGGUACCCAAAGAAUAAGCACCGGCUAACUUCGUGCCAGCAGCCGCGGUAAUUC
This 406-nucleotide ribosomal RNA is filed under the name uncultured bacterium. RNAcentral's name for it is "partial 16S ribosomal RNA". It matches the Rfam family "Bacterial small subunit ribosomal RNA", at positions 30 to 526 of the family's 1533-position model. The record is from RNAcentral.